This 532-nucleotide ribosomal RNA is filed under the name Fusarium culmorum. Its description in RNAcentral is "eukaryotic LSU rRNA". The stretch from base 180 to 333 matches the Rfam family "5.8S ribosomal RNA". Lineage: Eukaryota; Fungi; Ascomycota; Sordariomycetes; Hypocreales; Nectriaceae. The record is from RNAcentral.
CUCCGUUGGUGAACCAGCGGAGGGAUCAUUACCGAGUUUACAACUCCCAAACCCCUGUGAACAUACCUUAUGUUGCCUCGGCGGAUCAGCCCGCGCCCCGUAAAAAGGGACGGCCCGCCGCAGGAACCCUAAACUCUGUUUUUAGUGGAACUUCUGAGUAUAAAAAACAAAUAAAUCAAAACUUUCAACAACGGAUCUCUUGGUUCUGGCAUCGAUGAAGAACGCAGCAAAAUGCGAUAAGUAAUGUGAAUUGCAGAAUUCAGUGAAUCAUCGAAUCUUUGAACGCACAUUGCGCCCGCCAGUAUUCUGGCGGGCAUGCCUGUUCGAGCGUCAUUUCAACCCUCAAGCCCAGCUUGGUGUUGGGAGCUGCAGUCCUGCUGCACUCCCCAAAUACAUUGGCGGUCACGUCGAGCUUCCAUAGCGUAGUAAUUUACAUAUCGUUACUGGUAAUCGUCGCGGCCACGCCGUUAAACCCCAACUUCUGAAUGUUGACCUCGGAUCAGGUAGGAAUACCCGCUGAACUUAAGCAUAU